This 353-nucleotide ribosomal RNA is filed under the name uncultured Desulfobulbus sp. RNAcentral's name for it is "bacterial SSU rRNA". It matches the Rfam family "Bacterial small subunit ribosomal RNA", at positions 1030 to 1382 of the family's 1533-position model. Lineage: Bacteria; Pseudomonadati; Thermodesulfobacteriota; Desulfobulbia; Desulfobulbales; Desulfobulbaceae. The record is from RNAcentral.
GGAGACAGGUGCUGCAUGGCUGUCGUCAGCUCGCGUCGUGAGAUGUUGGGUUAAGUCCCGCAACGAGCGCAACCCUUGCCUUUAGUUGCCAGCAGUUCGGGCUGGGCACUCUAAAGGGACUGCCGGUGUUAAACCGGAGGAAGGUGGGGAUGACGUCAAGUCCUCAUGGCCUUUAUGACCAGGGCUACACACGUACUACAAUGGCCGAUACAAAGGGCAGCGACACUGCGAGGUGAAGCCAAUCCCGUAAAAUCGGUCUCAGUCCGGAUUGGAGUCUGCAACUCGACUCCAUGAAGUUGGAAUCGCUAGUAAUCGUGGAUCAGCAUGCCACGGUGAAUACGUUCUCGGGCCUU